AUAAGCGCCGGUAAGGUGAUAUGAACCGUUAUAACCGGCGAUUUCCGAAUGGGGAAACCCAGUGUGAUUCGUCACACUAUCAUUAACUGAAUCCAUAGGUUAAUGAGGCGAACCGGGGGAACUGAAACAUCUAAGUACCCCGAGGAAAAGAAAUCAACCGAGAUUCCCCCAGUAGCGGCGAGCGAACGGGGAGGAGCCCAGAGCCUGAAUCAGCAUGUGUGUUAGUGGAAGCGUCUGGAAAGGCGCGCGAUACAGGGUGACAGCCCCGUACACAAAAGCGCAUGUGCUGUGAGCUCGAUGAGUAGGGCGGGACACGUGGUAUCCUGUCUGAAUAUGGGGGGACCAUCCUCCAAGGCUAAAUACUCCUGACUGACCGAUAGUGAACCAGUACCGUGAGGGAAAGGCGAAAAGAACCCCGGCGAGGGGAGUGAAAAAGAACCUGAAACCGUGUACGUACAAGCAGUGGGAGCACCCUUCGGGGUGUGACUGCGUACCUUUUGUAUAAUGGGUCAGCGACUUAUAUUCUGUAGCAAGGUUAACCGUAUAGGGGAGCCGGAGGGAAACCGAGUCUUAACCGGGCGUUAAGUUGCAGGGUAUAGACCCGAAACCCGGUGAUCUAGCCAUGGGCAGGUUGAAGGUUGGGUAACACUAACUGGAGGACCGAACCGACUAAUGUUGAAAAAUUAGCGGAUGACCUGUGGCUGGGGGUGAAAGGCCAAUCAAACCGGGAGAUAGCUGGUUCUCCCCGAAAGCUAUUUAGGUAGCGCCUCGUGAAUUCAUCUCCGGGGGUAGAGCACUGUUUCGGCUAGGGGGCCAUCCCGGCUUACCAACCCGAUGCAAACUGCGAAUACCGGAGAAUGUUAUCACGGGAGACACACGGCGGGUGCUAACGUCCGUCGUGAAGAGGGAAACAACCCAGACCGCCAGCUAAGGUCCCAAAGUCAUGGUUAAGUGGGAAACGAUGUGGGAAGGCCCAGACAGCCAGGAUGUUGGCUUAGAAGCAGCCAUCAUUUAAAGAAAGCGUAAUAGCUCACUGGUCGAGUCGGCCUGCGCGGAAGAUGUAACGGGGCUAAACCAUGCACCGAAGCUGCGGCAGCGAACGUAUCACCCAAGACAACUUUACGGAGUUGACGAUUGACGGAGCGAAGCGACGUCAAAGCGUUCAUUAAAGUCGAGUUGGCUUAGGGAUACGUUCGUUGGGUAGGGGAGCGUUCUGUAAGCCUGUGAAGGUGUGUCGUGAGGCAUGCUGGAGGUAUCAGAAGUGCGAAUGCUGACAUAAGUAACGAUAAAGCGGGUGAAAAGCCCGCUCGCCGGAAGACCAAGGGUUCCUGUCCAACGUUAAUCGGGGCAGGGUGAGUCGACCCCUAAGGCGAGGCCGAAAGGCGUAGUCGAUGGGAAACGGGUUAAUAUUCCCGUACUUGGUGUUACUGCGAAGGGGGGACGGAGAAGGCUAUGUUGGCCGGGCGACGGUUGUCCCGGUUUAAGCGUGUAGGUGUGUGUUCCAGGUAAAUCCGGUUCACUUUAACACUGAGGCGUGACGACGAGGCACUACGGUGCUGAAGCAACAAAUGCCCUGCUUCCAGGAAAAGCCUCUAAGCAUCAGGUAACACGAAAUCGUACCCCAAACCGACACAGGUGGUCAGGUAGAGAAUACCAAGGCGCUUGAGAGAACUCGGGUGAAGGAACUAGGCAAAAUGGUGCCGUAACUUCGGGAGAAGGCACGCUGACACGUAGGUGAAGUGAUUUACUCAUGGAGCUGAAGUCAGUCGAAGAUACCAGCUGGCUGCAACUGUUUAUUAAAAACACAGCACUGUGCAAACACGAAAGUGGACGUAUACGGUGUGACGCCUGCCCGGUGCCGGAA
RNAcentral lists this ribosomal RNA (1864 nucleotides) under Salmonella enterica subsp. enterica serovar Typhimurium. RNAcentral describes it as "partial 23S ribosomal RNA". It matches the Rfam family "Bacterial large subunit ribosomal RNA", at positions 71 to 1874 of the family's 2925-position model. Lineage: Bacteria; Pseudomonadati; Pseudomonadota; Gammaproteobacteria; Enterobacterales; Enterobacteriaceae. The record is from RNAcentral.